AUAAUUUAUAUCUUACUCUUAUUUAUUUAUGUCAUUUUUCAGAAAUAUCUUUUAAUUUAGUAUACUAAAGAAAAAUAUUUAUUGUUAUAGAGAAUUAGUACUGUGAAGGAAUAGAUGAAAUACGAUGAAAAAUUAAUUUUGAAUAAGUAUGUCUUACUUGCAGUACCUUUUGUAUCAGGGUUAAUCAAAUAUAUUAAUUUAUUUUAUUUUCUCGAUUUCAAAAGAGCUAACCUCUUAUUUUAGUUAAUGUUUCAUAAUUAUUAUAAAUAUGGGUUGGUGGAGAAAUUCUAUUCGGUUUUGAAGGAUCUAGUUUUUUAAUAAUUAAAUUUAAUUUAACUCUUUUAUUUAAAACUUAUAUUUUAUUAAUUUUUAUUUAAUAGGUGAAAAAUUAUAGGGGAUAAGCUCUAUAUUAUUCUAUAAAUACUCUGGUUGUUUAAUUUUUGUAGGGUUAUAAUUAUCCAUCAUUAGAAAGUGUGUUAUAAUUUAUUUUUAUAUUAUACGAUUUUUUUUUGUUUUAGUAUCAUAUUAAAAUAUUAUAAUAAAUAAUACAUUUUAAGAAAUAAUGAUUGAAUUAGUAUAAUGUUGUGUUUAUAAAUAUUAUUUAUUUAGGAUAAAAUAAGGAACUCGGCAAAUAUAGUUCUCGCCUGUUUAACAAAAACAUGUCCUUUAGAAUUUAAUUUAAGGUCUGACCUGCCCAGUGAUUAAUUUAACGGCCGCGGUACACUGACCGUGCAAAGGUAGCAUAAUCAUUAGUCUUUUAAUAGGGGGCUGGAAUGAAAGGUUUAACGAGGAACUGACUGUCUUAUUUUAUUUGUUUUAAAAUUUAAUUUUUUAGUCAAAAAGCUAAAAUAAUAUUGGUAGACGAGAAGACCCUAUAGAUCUUUAUAUGUUAUCAUAUAAUUAUUUUUAUAUUAAUAUUUUUAUUUGGUAAUGUAUUUUGUUGGGGUGACAAAAAUAUACGAUAAACUUUUUUAUUUUAUUAACAUUGAUUUAUGAGUUCAUGAUCCAGUAUUACUGAUUAUUAGAUUAAGUUACCUUAGGGAUAACAGCGUAAUUUUCUCCCAGAGUUCAUAUUUACGGGAAAGUUUGCGACCUCGAUGUUGGAUUAAGGAUAAUAGUUAGGUGUAGCCGCUUAAUGUGUAGGUCUGUUCGACCUUUAAACUCUUACA
RNAcentral lists this ribosomal RNA (1169 nucleotides) under Neurothemis tullia. RNAcentral's name for it is "partial 16S ribosomal RNA". The record is from RNAcentral. Lineage: Eukaryota; Metazoa; Arthropoda; Insecta; Odonata; Libellulidae.